RNAcentral lists this ribosomal RNA (479 nucleotides) under uncultured bacterium. Its description in RNAcentral is "bacterial SSU rRNA". It matches the Rfam family "Bacterial small subunit ribosomal RNA", at positions 28 to 516 of the family's 1533-position model. The record is from RNAcentral.
GAUGAACGCUGGCGGCGUGCCUAACACAUGCAAGUCGAGCGGGAUUGUGGAGUAGCUUGCUACGAAGCAAUCUAGCGGCGGACGGGUGAGUAACGCGUGGGCAACCUGCCCUAUACAGGGGGAUAACACACCGAAAGGUGUGCUAAUACCCCAUAACACCGAUGCUUCGCAUGGAGUGUCGGUCAAAGAUUUAUCGGUAUAGGAUGGUCCCGCGUCUGAUUAGCUAGUUGGUGAGGUAACGGCUCACCAAGGCGACGAUCAGUAGCCGGCCUGAGAGGGUGAACGGCCACACUGGAACUGAGACACGGUCCAGACUCCUACGGGAGGCAGCAGUGGGGAAUAUUGCACAAUGGGGGAAACCCUGAUGCAGCGACGCCGCGUGAGCGAAGAAGGCCUUCGGUCGUAAGACUCUGUCCUAACGGGAAGAAACGGAACGGUACCUUAGGAGGAAGCCCCGGCGUAACUACGUGCCAGCAGCC